This 351-nucleotide ribosomal RNA is filed under the name Leptocerus americanus. RNAcentral's name for it is "eukaryotic LSU rRNA". It matches the Rfam family "Eukaryotic large subunit ribosomal RNA", at positions 655 to 946 of the family's 3401-position model. Lineage: Eukaryota; Metazoa; Arthropoda; Insecta; Trichoptera; Leptoceridae. The record is from RNAcentral.
UGAAACACGGACCAAGGAGUCUAGCAUGUGCGCGAGUCAUUGGGAUUUGAUUUAAUCGAACUAGACCCAGAGGCGCAACGAAAGUGAAAGGCGGCGUCCUCGCGACCCGCCACCAGGGAGGAUGCGUGCGCGUCUACGAACGCGUCGCCGCACUCCCGAGGCGUUUCGAGAAAGUCACCGUGCGAUUAUCGAGACGCACUGAGAGCGUACACGCUGGGACCCGAAAGAUGGUGAACUAUGCCUGGUCAGGUCGAAGUCAGGGGAAACCCUGAUGGAGGACCGAAGCGAUUCUGACGUGCAAAUCGAUCGUCGGAACUGGGUAUAGGGGCGAAAGACUAAUCGAACUAUCUA